This is a non-coding RNA of Vicia faba (fava bean), 294 nucleotides long. The record is from the annotation of a GenBank genome assembly. NCBI's taxonomy places the organism in Eukaryota, Viridiplantae, Streptophyta, Magnoliopsida, Fabales, Fabaceae.
AUGAACGACCUAAGAUCAGAGUCGCCACUUCAAUUCAAGUUCUCGCAAAACACGCUGUUCGCGGAACUCAUUACCAUACUGCAUUUACCUUCAAUUAACAUUGAAGGAAACAGAAAAUUCACCCCGUUUAAGCUCAAGAACGACGACGAUUUAGAGGUUAUGUGGAAUAUCUUUCAACAAUACUCUUCUAAGAAUCUGAUUGAGAUGGAUGCAAAGCUUCAAAGAUCGGCAAAAGAUGUUUUCAAAAUGUUACAACGUCUUCAACUGCCCGUUUAUAACAAUAUGUAUCUUUAA